CCUACGGGAGGCAGCAGUGGGGAAUCUUGCGCAAUGGGCGAAAGCCUGACGCAGCCAUGCCGCGUGAAUGAUGAAGGUCUUAGGAUUGUAAAAUUCUUUCACCGGGGACGAUAAUGACGGUACCCGGAGAAGAAGCCCCGGCUAACUUCGUGCCAGCAGCCGCGGUAAUACGAAGGGGGCUAGCGUUGCUCGGAAUUACUGGGCGUAAAGGGAGCGUAGGCGGAUAGUUUAGUCAGAGGUGAAAGCCCAGGGCUCAACCUUGGAAUUGCCUUUGAUACUGGCUAUCUUGAGUUUGGGAGAGGUGAGUGGAACUCCGAGUGUAGAGGUGAAAUUCGUAGAUAUUCGGAAGAACACCAGUGGCGAAGGCGACUCACUGGCCCAAUACUGACGCUGAGGCUCGAAAGCGUGGGGAGCAAACAGGAUUAGAUACCCUGGUAGUCCACGCCGUAAACGAUGAGUGCUAGUUGUCGGCAUGCAUGCAUGUCGGUGACGCAGCUAACGCAUUAAGCACUCCGCCGNGGGAGGUACGGUCGCGAAGAAUUAAACUAACAAAGAAAGUUAGUACGGCGUUGAGACGNGCCGACGGACGACGACGAGGGGAGGAGG
This 606-nucleotide ribosomal RNA is filed under the name uncultured bacterium. RNAcentral's name for it is "bacterial SSU rRNA". The stretch from base 1 to 517 matches the Rfam family "Bacterial small subunit ribosomal RNA", at positions 338 to 873 of the family's 1533-position model. The record is from RNAcentral.